UCCAUUUUCUCUGCCAGGAAAUCAGACAGAGGUAAGGGGUCUUUGAUACUGUGUCCCUUGAUGGCCGUUUUCCUUGAUGGCAACUGGCCACAGAGCCCUGCUGCUGACCUUCAGGAUUGCCCGGUCCCUGCCCUUCCUGGAUCCUGGCUCUUCAGCUUCCCUCCAUCUUGUGACACACUCUGGCAUCCUCCUACUGAAUUCCACCUUUGGCUGAGUUGGCUUCUGCCCCUGGCCUCCAAAGGCACCUUCACUACUACAGACUGGCCGAGGGAGUUGGGAUCGGAGUUAGUGUGUCGAAGGUUGUCCCUGUGAUUCCAAAUUGGGCCGUCCCUAAGAAAUGGGCCCAUCUGGUCAGUUUCCUAAAGAAACCACGAGAUGCCAAGGCUGAAGCUGUCGUUUGUUGAAAGAGCUGUGGCAGCCUGUGGCAGCCUGGGAAAGACACUUCGUGCUGCAGCUGGCACUCGCCCCUGAGAUGCCGGAAGCUCAUCAGUGAGGGGCAUAGGAAGAAGCGAGCUAAGGGGAGGCUGCCGGGGGCCUGCACGGGGCAUCACCCUCAUUCCUCGUUGGACAGAGCCCGCUAGGGGAUGAAAGAGAUGUUCAAGAUCACUCCCAUAGUUCUGGGAGGCAGGGAAACUUCAGUGAAUGAGAUUCCCGUUUCUGGAAAUUUACCUGAAGGCUGGUGUGGUAGGUGAGACAGCCCCCUGCAAUCCCCACCCCUGGUGGUCAGGUCCCCGUGCAGUCUCCUCCCAUGUUAACUAGGGCUGACCUGGGCGACCAGUAGGAUAUGGCAUGUGGUUCUCGAGGCUAUGUCAUAAAAGACCUCAUAGCUUCAGCCUUCUCUUCUGGAUCACUCACUGUGGGGAAGCCAGCCACCAGCCCUACAGAGAGGCCCACGAGGUGAGGAACUCAGGUCACCUGCCAAGCAUCAGCACCCGCUUGUCAACCAGGGUCUGUCCGGCUUCAUCACCAUGACAGACAAAAUAAGUUUAACAGAAAAUAUCGGGAUUGCUGAGUGCCCCUCCUCGGGAUAGUGAGAGACCCACCUCUUCUCCUGUGUCUACCAGUCCAGUGGACGCCAUCCUGUUUGUUUUGCUUGGUAAAAGAAGAAACCAGAAAAUCCGGUCUAGACCACUGAGGGGGCCCGUUCUCACCCGCACAGCCUCUCCCAAACCACAAGUUCCACCAGUUUCUCAGAGCGGACCUGAGGAAGUGAAAUACUGCCUGCCCAAAACACCCAGGGGUCUGUCCUGAAGGAACAACUCAGGGGCGUCCCGAUUUGUUAGAGCAAAGCUGUCCAGACCAUUGAUCCAAGCUGCCCCCCUGGGAUGCUGAGUCAGCCUGUGUGCUUCCCCGGGAAAGACGGGGAGACUCAAGGUUGGGCUAACAGCUCAGGGACUUCUCAUGGCCUGUCCGGGCUUGUCUACUUCCCUUUGGGAAAGCAAGCAAAUGAGUCCUGUUCACAGCACAAAGAAGUUUUGUCUGGUAGAAAAGAGACUCAUGACUUUACCUUUCUGAGAAUUAUAUCUGAGCAGAUCGCUGGUCCCCAAGGAAUCUACAAAGUCUCUCGCACCAUCCAUCCCUCCUGCCCCCCAAUCUGUUCAGGUGGCAUCAGCAGCUGCAUCCUCUGGGUCGCCACUGUGCCCAGAACAGACUUCGAGGACAAGCUGCCCUUGUGUGCUUCUCCGCCAGCGUCUCCCUCCAGACUGCCAGCUCCCGAGGGCAGGGGCCAGGUCUGAUUCUUGCUGGAUCUGCAGAGCUCAGUAGAUGCUGUUGAAUGAAUUUAUGAAUAUACUUGGUCUGGACCACACCUCACUGCUGGUGAAGGAGCCUGGUGUAUGGGAAGGGCAAUUCAUUCAUGUGGCCUCUGAGCCUCAGUUUUUGCAUCUGCGAAAUGAGGCUAUUUCCUAUGUGCUGAUGGGAAGGGUGUCUUAAGUAACUGCUGCAUAGUUUCCAUUUUCUUCUUUUAAUUUCUAUCGCCACCUCCCACCCCACCCCCCGGGAUAGUAUGAACAGGAACAGGGUCAUUUCCUCCGGCUCUCCACCCUGCAAGGCCCACAGAAAGUGUCCAGUGACGUACUGCCACCCGGUUCAUAAACGAGAAGGGGCCAGGGUGCCCACAGCCGGCGGACAAGCAGCAGGAUCUACUCAGCAGAAGCCUUGCACUCCAGUGCUGGGGGGUUGAGGGCAAAGGGAGGGCUGGAGACCCGAACACGAACGGGAACCCCAAGGGAAUAACUGAAGGGAGAGAAUGGCUGCAAGAGGCUGGAUUUCAAGAAGCCACAAGUCCCGGCCCCAGCCCCGGCCCCAGCCCCAGGAACGCACCUGCUUCUCUGGCCCCCUCCUUCCCUAAACAGCAUCAUCUGCUGAGAAAGCAGACUUCUGAAUUCCUGGGGUUCGGGCGCCAUCUCGUGGCCAUUUCUGAAACUGCCCAUCCCGGCUGAGCAGAGCCCAGAGAUCCAAGAGCAACGGGGAACCAGGCCAACACUCCUCCAACUUUCCUGGCCCCGACCCUCUUCAUCCUCACCUUCUCCCUUCCAUUUAUUGAGCACUGAAUAUAUUCCAGUCUCCGUGUUCAGCCCCUCUCAGGACGUCAGCACGUUUAAUUCUUGGAACAACCUUAAAAGGCAGGUAACACUAGUACCAUUUUACAGACGAUGAAACUGAGGCACAGAGAGGAAAAGGAGGUUUCCCAAGGCCGUACAGCUAAGGAAGUGGGCUAGAAGAGCUCCUCUCUGUACAGGAGAGGGGACAGUGAGGCAUUUGAUCCUGCUGCUUCGGAGACAGUUGGCUUUGCGGUCCUUUAGCUCUAAUUCAAAUACGUUUUUGGUGCUGACUCUGUGCCAGACCCUGCACUGGGCGCAGUUACUGGGGUCCAGUAACCCCCUCAGUCCCUAUUAACCCCCUCCAUGGCACUUAUCACUGUAUGGUCUGAUUUCCUUCUUAAGUGUCCAUCUCCCACCGAAACUGUGGGCUUCCUGAGACAUAGAGACCGAUAGUCUGUUUUCUUUGCUGCUGCAUCUCUAGAACUCCGAACUGAUCUCAGAACACAGAAUCGGUGCUCCAUUAACAUUUGUGAAUGACCUAACAAAUCAGUGAAUGAGUACAAUUAAAACAAAACAAAACAAAAAAACAACUAGGGGCACCUGGCUGGCUUGGUGAGAAGAGCAUGCGACUCUUGAUCUUGGGGUCAUGAGUUCGAGCCCCACACUGGGGGUAGAGAUGACUCAAAAAUAAAAUCUUUAAAAACAUAAAAGAACUACAAGAACUAAAAACAAAACAAAACCCACCAACUGGUCUCUGCCGUCAAGGCACUGACAGUCUAGUGUGGAAGGCAGAUUGGUAAAGGGCAGGUGUGGUUCCUGUCCCCACCCCUCCCCCUCCUCCCCCCCAACCCCCGCCUUCCCUCAGUGCUUUCCCAGAGGGAGCUUCAGGAGCCCGGAAAAGGCUCCUAACGUAGCCCUGCCCCGAGCCCCGAGGACAAGGCAGCAGAGCUGAGACUCACACAGGAAGGAAGGGAAAAGGCUCUACAGGUAGAGACCACAGGGCGAGCAAGUGCCUGGAGAGGAGAGCCCGCCUGCCCGGAGCCUGCUUGCCCUGUGCGCACUGUGAACUCCAAGCCUCCAGGAGGACCGUCAGGGGAAGGGGAGAGGCCAGCGGGGAAUUCACCCAGCUAGCCACUUCAGACAAAUCCCUCCCUCGACUCGGCCUCAUAUUCCUCCUCCCCAAAAUGGGAACGAGGCGAGGAUGAAAUGAGACACAGGGCUGGCACACAGAAGGGAAGCUUAGGUCCCCCAGUGGCUUGCCCCACAACCCCGGAUGCACUUCAGGGGCAUGGCCUGGGGCGGGGUGGGCAGUAGCUGGGCUCCAGAGGCCACCAGGAAGUAGCCUGAGACUCAGCGCUGGAGGGGGGAAGCACAGCGCCAUCUGCUUUAAAUCAGCGCCUCAGAGGUCGCAGCACAAGGAGGUCCGGGUCCGAGCACCCAACCCCACGAGACAGCAGGUCCGCCCUGUGAUGAAUGCACGGGCACCAAGUCGAGGAGGAACCAGGCCGGGCCUCACAGCGAGGGCACGGGAGAGAGACCCUCGGAGGAGCCAAUAAUCCAUUCUUGUUUACUAAGCACCUUCUAUGUUCCAGCUAUUAGAAACCCUGGCAAAGCAGCAGACGGUAAGCCAAUGUAGUGUGUGUGCGUGGUGGUGUUGAAAAUUUCUUCUAGGGAGAAAAAUAAACACAGGAAGGGGAAUAGGGACUGUGGGGGUGGUUGGCAAUUUUAAAUAGAAUGGUGCCGGAGAGCCUCCAGAGAAGAGACCUUCAAAUAGAGACCAGAAGGUGUGGUAUGGGAGGAAGCCCUGAGGAUAUCUAAGGGAGGAGGGUCCGGGGCUGAGGGGAAAGCAAGUGCAAAUGCCCUGGGGCAACAUCGUGCCUGCUGUGGUUCAAGGAGCAGUAAAGAAACCAGAGAGGGGGCUGAGGGGGCAGAGGUAGGGGCCGGAUGGAGUAGGGCCGUCUAGACCACUGGGAAGCCCAAAUGAGCGUCUAACAUGUAGCGACAGAGGUACACGAUAGGAGAAAAGCACAGACCCGCUCAUUAGGCAACUCUAAACUUGUGUCUCAUUACCCAGCCACACCUCCCGCAGUGCGCUAUGAAUUAAUAUUUUCUAUAAAUCCUGUAAUUAUCCUGUGAAUAGCACAAUUAUAUUGCAUUGUAUUUUGUGUGUUAAAAGCACUCAUUUGUUAAAUGUAAACAUUUAAA
Long non-coding RNA from Prionailurus viverrinus (fishing cat), 4748 nucleotides. RefSeq lists it as uncharacterized. NCBI's taxonomy places the organism in Eukaryota, Metazoa, Chordata, Mammalia, Carnivora, Felidae. The record is from RefSeq and is a predicted model, not a curated record. The transcript has 4 exons.